GAUGAACGCUGGCGGCGUGCCUAAUACAUGCAAGUCGAGCGAACGGACGAGAAGCUUGCUUCUCUGAUGUUAGCGGCGGACGGGUGAGUAACACGUGGAUAACCUACCUAUAAGACUGGGAUAACUUCGGGAAACCGGAGCUAAUACCGGAUAAUAUUUUGAACCGCAUGGUUCAAAAGUGAAAGACGGUCUUGCUGUCACUUAUAGAUGGAUCCGCGCUGCAUUAGCUAGUUGGUAAGGUAACGGCUUACCAAGGCAACGAUGCAUAGCCGACCUGAGAGGGUGAUCGGCCACACUGGAACUGAGACACGGUCCAGACUCCUACGGGAGGCAGCAGUAGGGAAUCUUCCGCAAUGGGCGAAAGCCUGACGGAGCAACGCCGCGUGAGUGAUGAAGGUCUUCGGAUCGUAAAACUCUGUUAUUAGGGAAGAACAUAUGUGUAAGUAACUGUGCACAUCUUGACGGUACCUAAUCAGAAAGCCACGGCUAACUACGUGCCAGCAGCCGCGGUAAUACGUAGGUGGCAAGCGUUAUCCGGAAUUAUUGGGCGUAAAGCGCGCGUAGGCGGUUUUUUAAGUCUGAUGUGAAAGCCCACGGCUUCACCGUGGAGGGUCAUUGGAAACUGGAAAACUUGAGUGCAGAAGAGAAAAGUGGAAUUCCAUGUGUAGCGGUGAAAUGCGCAGAGAUAUGGAGGAACACCAGUGGCGAAGGCGACUUUCUGGUCUGUAACUGACGCUGAUGUGCGAAAGCGUGGGGAUCAAACAGGAUUAGAUACCCUGGUAGUCCACGCCGUAAACGAUGAGUGCUAAGUGUUAGGGGGUUUCCGCCCCUUAGUGCUGCAGCUAACGCAUUAAGCACUCCGCCUGGGGAGUACGACCGCAAGGUUGAAACUCAAAGGAAUUGACGGGGACCCGCACAAGCGGUGGAGCAUGUGGUUUAAUUCGAAGCAACGCGAAGAACCUUACCAAAUCUUGACAUCCUUUGACAACUCUAGAGAUAGAGCCUUCCCCUUCGGGGGACAAAGUGACAGGUGGUGCAUGGUUGUCGUCAGCUCGUGUCGUGAGAUGUUGGGUUAAGUCCCGCAACGAGCGCAACCCUUAAGCUUAGUUGCCAUCAUUAAGUUGGGCACUCUAAGUUGACUGCCGGUGACAAACCGGAGGAAGGUGGGGAUGACGUCAAAUCAUCAUGCCCCUUAUGAUUUGGGCUACACACGUGCUACAAUGGACAAUACAAAGGGCAGCGAAACCGCGAGGUCAAGCAAAUCCCAUAAAGUUGUUCUCAGUUCGGAUUGUAGUCUGCAACUCGACUACAUGAAGCUGGAAUCGCUAGUAAUCGUAGAUCAGCAUGCUACGGUGAAUACGUUCCCGGGUCU
RNAcentral lists this ribosomal RNA (1372 nucleotides) under uncultured bacterium. RNAcentral's name for it is "bacterial SSU rRNA". It matches the Rfam family "Bacterial small subunit ribosomal RNA", at positions 28 to 1381 of the family's 1533-position model. The record is from RNAcentral.